RNAcentral lists this ribosomal RNA (586 nucleotides) under Trichoderma virens. RNAcentral describes it as "eukaryotic LSU rRNA". The stretch from base 201 to 354 matches the Rfam family "5.8S ribosomal RNA". The record is from RNAcentral. Lineage: Eukaryota; Fungi; Ascomycota; Sordariomycetes; Hypocreales; Hypocreaceae.
CCGAGUUUACAACUCCCAAACCCAAUGUGAACGUUACCAAACUGUUGCCUCGGCGGGAUCUCUGCCCCGGGUGCGUCGCAGCCCCGGACCAAGGCGCCCGCCGGAGGACCAACCAAAACUCUUAUUGUAUACCCCCUCGCGGGUUUUUUACUAUCUGAGCCAUCUCGGCGCCCCUCGUGGGCGUUUCGAAAAUGAAUCAAAACUUUCAACAACGGAUCUCUUGGUUCUGGCAUCGAUGAAGAACGCAGCGAAAUGCGAUAAGUAAUGUGAAUUGCAGAAUUCAGUGAAUCAUCGAAUCUUUGAACGCACAUUGCGCCCGCCAGUAUUCUGGCGGGCAUGCCUGUCCGAGCGUCAUUUCAACCCUCGAACCCCUCCGGGGGGUCGGCGUUGGGGAUCGGCCCUUUACGGGGCCGGCCCCGAAAUACAGUGGCGGUCUCGCCGCAGCCUCUCCUGCGCAGUAGUUUGCACACUCGCAUCGGGAGCGCGGCGCGUCCACAGCCGUUAAACACCCCAAACUUCUGAAAUGUUGACCUCGGAUCAGGUAGGAAUACCCGCUGAACUUAAGCAUAUCAAUAAGCCGGAGGAA